Molecule: ribosomal RNA, 234 nt
Filed under: uncultured bacterium
Lineage: Bacteria
Description: partial 16S ribosomal RNA
Rfam family: Bacterial small subunit ribosomal RNA
Source: RNAcentral
ACGGCUGAGUAACGCGUGGGUGACGUACCUGUUGGUGGGGAAUAACUGCCCGAAAGGGUGGCUAAUUCCGCAUAAGUCCUUUGGUUCAAUCUGAAGGGGAAAGCUUCGCAAGAGGCGCCGAUGGAGCGGCCCGCGUCCGAUUAGCUUGUUGGUGGGGUAACGGCCUACCAAGGCGACGAUCGGUAGCUGGUCUUAGAGGAUGAUCAGCCAGACUGGGACUGAGACACGGCCCAG